GUCUGAACUGAAAUAACAGACAUCAAAAUGGAGGUGGAUUUCUUAUUCAAAAUCAAAAGCAUACUUGAGACCAGGAAACAAGCUUUUCAUGGGCAACUCUUAGUGGAGUUCUAGCAAGCCUAUCAAGGGAAGAUUAAUUUAAUAUAUGUUUGAAGGAUUAUCACAAGUGACUAAGCAUUAUCUUCGUUACAAUUCUCAGUCACUUACCCUGUUUUGGUUAACUUGAAACAUCAAAAUCUCAUAAUGGAAAAAAAACGUUAGUGCAUUCUGUAAAGAAGUUUCAAAGUCAAGUUCACAUUUCAGAUUCAAAUCCAAUAUUCCAAAAUCCUUCAGGAGUCAAAGGGGGAACGUACUUAUACCUAUGCCUGGAAACACCAUCAUGAUGCUCACAGCGGAAAUUUUGUAUAUUACCGUCAGCAUCCUUUCCUCCAUUAGGAAGAACUGCAUCAUAGAAUUUCUUACACUGCUUGCAUUCAACUCCUUUCAAAUUAUCCCGCUCAGCUUUCUUUCUAACAGGUUCAACAUACUUGAACCCUUUUUGGCCAGCCAUUGGAAGUAGCAUCUGCUGCUUUUCUGGGCCAGGAUCAACAUUCAUAUCCUGCGUUUCAUCAUCUGGACUAUCAGAGUGCAUAUCUUUCUGAACUGGGAUUUGAAGAUCAUGAUCAUCCUUCAUGGUUUUAUUCAAGGUCCUUCUAAGGUUCUCAAGGGGGGUAUCAAGGAAAUCAUCAUGAGGGUCAGGCCCAUCUCUGUUUUGACGAGACCUAGUACCUAUCCAACGAGAUGCAGGCCGCUUUGUACCAACAACAGGAGCAGAUUUUGCAGCAGGAAGGCAUUUUGGUGCAAUAUAACCGGAAGUAGGAGAAUGGAAGCUUGGCGUCGGAAUUGAUUUGACUACUUUAUCUUCCUCAAACAGAUCACUGGCGUCAUUUUCAAUCUUCACUUUCUUGAUCUCACAAGCAGCUGUAGCAGUAUCUGGAUGUCUGCUCACAAAAUCAGGUGAAGUUGUUGGAUUUUGUUGAUGCAUUAGUGAGGCACUUUCAUCUUCUAAUUUGAUUUGAGGAAGCAUAUUCUCCUCAGUAAGGCCAGCCUUCGCGCAUAGAAAUUUGUACUGAGACUUCAACCUUUUGUAGGCAUCAAAGACAUUCUUUGUCUUCUUCUUCUCAGCCAGCAACUGAGUCUCUUUCAAUUCAAUUUGCUGAAGCAGCUUUUCAUAUGAAUCCUUUCCUUCAUCAACCUUGCUGCAACUACUGAGAUUUUCCUUGAGCUCAUUGAUCUUCUCCUCAAAAACAUUUACUUUCUCCAGAAGCAGUUUUUUAUCGUUCUCAGACUCCUCCAACUGUUGUUUUUGCUUCAAGAUUUCCAAUUUAUCCGCAUCAAUCUGUUGAAGCAGUUGUGCCUGUGACACUCUUCCCUCUUCAAGUUCUUCUGUCUUUUUCUUGAGCUUCUUUUGGAGUUCACUAACAUCCUCCUCCAACCAUUCCAAUUUUUCCACAAGUUCUUUCUUCUCUUUUUCAUGCUUAGUCAACAACUCAUCAUUAUCUGAUAUAAGUGAUAUUAGGGAGUUGAUUCUUUUGAGUAAGUCUGCCUCCAUCUCUUCCUUUUCUGCUAUCUUUAAAGUCUUUCGUUUAAGCUCAUCUUCAAGCACUUCAACCUUUUUCUCUAAGCUCUUCACUUUGUCAAGCAACCCAUUAUUCUGUUCUUUAUACUCAUUCAGUUGUUUUCCCUUCUCCAAUAUCAUAGUUGAUUUCGUUUGGACCAAUUGAAGUAAUCUAUUAUGCAAUUCCAUUCCCUCAUCAACUUCCUUGGACUUCUUCCUAACCUCCUGUUCUAGUUCAUCAAUUCUAACUUGUAGAAUUCUUUCUUUGAGAACUAGUGAGUCUGUCUUGUCAUCCAACUCCCCUAAAGACUUUUCCUUCUCAAGCUUCAGACACCGGUUUUCUUCAAGCAAUUCUUGCUUUUCAAGUAGAAGUCUUUCAUUCUGGAGCUGAAGAUUUUUCUCCUUCUCUUUCCAUGAAUCUUCCGCUUCCUUUUUAGCCUCCAAAUAAAGUUUCUGCAAGCUCUUAGAUUUCAUUUGGAAAUUAGAGUAGAGCUGACUGCAAAAUAUAUACUCUAUCUGAGAAAUCCUGUCCUUUGCUUCCUGAAUUGUUGCAACCAGUAUAGUGCUAAGCUUAGACACAUACUUUAAAUCAUCAUCAUUCUCCGCUGGACACACUGGUUUCGGAAAGUAUUGAAGCCCCCCCUCCAUUUCUGAGGCAAUUGUGUUUGCCGAAUUAAAUAUUCAGAGAAGAGAUGAAAUCUGCUUGUCUCUAUCUCUAUUCUUCGUGUGUCGUGGCGUUGGCGGGUUCUGAAAAUUUUCAUAUAAGCGGAAGUGAAAAGCUUGGU
Molecule: unclassified non-coding RNA, 2382 nt
Filed under: Hevea brasiliensis (rubber tree)
Lineage: Eukaryota; Viridiplantae; Streptophyta; Magnoliopsida; Malpighiales; Euphorbiaceae
Source: RNAcentral